Molecule: ribosomal RNA, 253 nt
Filed under: uncultured bacterium
Lineage: Bacteria
Description: partial 16S ribosomal RNA
Rfam family: Bacterial small subunit ribosomal RNA
Source: RNAcentral
UACAGAGGUCUCAAGCGUUGUUCGGAUUUAUUGGGCGUAAAGGGUGCGUAGGCGGCGCGCUAAGUCAGGUGUGAAAUUUCGGAGCUUAACUCCGAAACUGCAUUUGAUACUGCCGUGCUUGAGGACUGGAGAGGAGACUGGAAUUUACGGUGUAGCGGUGAAAUGCGUAGAUAUCGUAAGGAAGACCAGUGGCGAAGGCGGGUCUCUGGACAGUUCCUGACGCUGAGGCACGAAGGCCAGGGGAGCAAACGGG